Molecule: ribosomal RNA, 441 nt
Filed under: uncultured bacterium
Lineage: Bacteria
Description: partial 16S ribosomal RNA
Rfam family: Bacterial small subunit ribosomal RNA
Source: RNAcentral
ACUACGGGAGGCAGCAGUGGGGAAUAUUGCACAAUGGGGGAAACCCUGAUGCAGCGACGCCGCGUGAGUGAAGAAGUAUGUCGGGAUGUAAAGCUCGAUCAGCAGGGAAGAAGAAAGACGGUACCUGACGAAGAAGCCCCGGCGAACUACGUGCCAGCAGCCGCGGUAAUACGUAGGGGGCAAGCUUUAUCCGGAUUGACGGGGUGUAAAGGGAGCGGAGAAGGCUGUGCAAGUCUGAAGUGAAAGCCCAGGGCUCAACCCUGGGACUGCUUUGGAAACUGUGGAGCUAGAGUGCUGGAGAGGUCAGUUGAAUUCCUAGUGUAGCGGUGAAAUGCGUAGAUAUUAGGCGGAACACCAGUGGCGACGGCGGCUUACUGGACAGUAACUGACGUUGAGGCUCGAAAGCGUGGGGAGCAAACAGGAUUAGAUACCCGUGUAGUC